Molecule: long non-coding RNA, 567 nt
Organism: Bos taurus (domestic cattle)
Lineage: Eukaryota; Metazoa; Chordata; Mammalia; Artiodactyla; Bovidae
Source: Ensembl
GAUCCCUGGGGUCCUUGUUUCUGAGCUUCAGGAACCUGAGGAGGAGGAAAGUUGAUCUAUGACUUGGCUUCCUGAAUCUUCAAGCCUGAAAUCUUCCCUGCCCCUGCCGGUGUUGGUGGAUUCCCCUGCUCCCCUGAAGAGAGAAACGGGGACCAAACCUGUUCUUGAACCCUGUCUAGAAAUGGGAGCAUUGUCCACACGUGGAAAAGCUUUCAGCGGAAACAGACACGAGGUGGUUGAUCCUUUCUUCUUGAUCCAGUCUGGGCAUUCACCUUGUAGUUGGCUGGGCUCAGUCUCUUGCUCUGGAUGGUCGUAACUGACCCAGUCUCGGGAGCUACCAAAACGAGAGAGACUGGGAAGCUUGGUGUUCAGUCAUCACUGGGAGCCUACUAGGAGAACAAGGUACCAUGCAGCCACUGGAAAGGCUGAGUGUCUAGAAAGGGCCAUAACAGAGGAAAAUCCUGCUUGGCUGACUGGGGCCAGGACUGUGGCUUUAAAGCAAUUGGCGCAGAUGUUGAGUGAGGGGGUGCUUUCAUUUUGUGCUCAAUAAAACCAGUUUUAUUCAGG